This 328-nucleotide ribosomal RNA is filed under the name Allapsidae sp. RNAcentral describes it as "SSU rRNA". The stretch from base 54 to 328 matches the Rfam family "Eukaryotic small subunit ribosomal RNA", at positions 679 to 955 of the family's 1831-position model. The record is from RNAcentral. Lineage: Eukaryota; Cercozoa; Glissomonadida; Viridiraptoridae.
GAUUUCUGACGAAACUGCUAGCUGGCCCGCCACGUCAGUGUGUGAGUGCCGGCUUGGCGUUUGUCAUCCGUUCGAACGAUAUGCGCGCUGCCCUUCACUGGGUUGGCGCUGCAUGUUUUCGAUCUUUUACUUUGAAAAAAUUAGAGUGUUUAAAGCAGGCUUACGCUAUGAAUACAUUAGCAUGGAAUAAUAAUAUAGGACUUUGGUUCUAUUUUGUUGGUUUCUAGGACUGAAGUAAUGAUUGAUAGGGAUAGUUGGGGGUGCUAGUAUUCAGUGGCCAGAGGUGAAAUUCUUGGAUUCACUGAAGACUAACUACUGCGAAAGCAUU